GAUGAAGAACGUAGCGAAAUGCGAUAAGUAAUGUGAAUUGCAGAAUUCAGUGAAUCAUCGAAUCUUUGAACGCACAUUGCGCCCCCUGGUAUUCCGGGGGGCAUGCCUGUCCGAGCGUCAUUACAACCCUCAAGCUCAGCUUGGUGUUGGGCCCCGCCGCCCCGGCGGGCCCUAAAGUCAGUGGCGGUGCCGUCCGGCUCCGAGCGUAGUAAUUCUUCUCGCUCUGGAGGCCCGGUCGCGUGCCCGCCAGCAACCCCCAAUUUUUUUCAGGUUGACCUCGGAUCAGGUAGGGAUACCCGCUGAACUUAAGCAUAUCAAUAAGCGGAGGA
This 329-nucleotide unclassified non-coding RNA is filed under the name soil metagenome. RNAcentral describes it as "partial contains 5.8S ribosomal RNA, internal transcribed spacer 2, and large subunit ribosomal RNA". The stretch from base 1 to 120 matches the Rfam family "5.8S ribosomal RNA", at positions 35 to 154 of the family's 154-position model. The record is from RNAcentral.